RNAcentral lists this ribosomal RNA (253 nucleotides) under uncultured bacterium. RNAcentral's name for it is "partial 16S ribosomal RNA". It matches the Rfam family "Bacterial small subunit ribosomal RNA", at positions 524 to 776 of the family's 1533-position model. The record is from RNAcentral.
UACGGAGGAUGCAAGCGUUAUCCGGAAUGAUUGGGCGUAAAGCGUCCGCAGGUGGUUGUGUGUGUCUAUUGUCAAAGCAUCAUGCUUAACAUGAUAAAGGCAGUAGAAACUACACGACUAGAGUGCGUUCGGGGCAGAGGGAAUUCCUGGUGUAGCGGCGAAAUGCGUAGAGAUCAGGAAGAACACCGGUGGCGAAAGCGAUCUGCUAGGCCGCAACUGACACUGAGGGACGAAAGCUAGGGGAGCGAAGGGG